AUUGAACGCUGGCGGCAGGCCUAACACAUGCAAGUCGAGCGGAUGAAGGGAGCUUGCUCCUGGAUUCAGCGGCGGACGGGUGAGUAAUGCCUAGGAAUCUGCCUGGUAGUGGGGGAUAACGUCCGGAAACGGGCGCUAACACCGCAUACGUCCUGAGGGAGAAAGUGGGGGAUCUUCGGACCUCACGCUAUCAGAUGAGCCUAGGUCGGAUUAGCUAGUUGGUGGGGUAAAGGCCUACCAAGGCGACGAUCCGUAACUGGUCUGAGAGGAUGAUCAGUCACACUGGAACUGAGACACGGUCCAGACUCCUACGGGAGGCAGCAGUGGGGAAUAUUGGACAAUGGGCGAAAGCCUGAUCCAGCCAUGCCGCGUGUGUGAAGAAGGUCUUCGGAUUGUAAAGCACUUUAAGUUGGGAGGAAGGGCAGUAAGUGAAUACCUUGCUGUUUUGACGGUACCAACAGAAUAAGCACCGGCUAACUUCGUG
RNAcentral lists this ribosomal RNA (484 nucleotides) under uncultured bacterium. RNAcentral's name for it is "partial 16S ribosomal RNA". It matches the Rfam family "Bacterial small subunit ribosomal RNA", at positions 30 to 507 of the family's 1533-position model. The record is from RNAcentral.